AACCCGAUGUGGCUGCGAUACU
Molecule: microRNA, 22 nt
Filed under: Ascaris suum (pig roundworm)
Lineage: Eukaryota; Metazoa; Nematoda; Chromadorea; Rhabditida; Ascarididae
Description: asu-miR-43d-5p
Gene: asu-miR-43d-5p
Source: miRBase by way of RNAcentral